GUCCAUGACGGGAAGUGAAACGAAAGGAAACGCGUGGCGAUGAGAAGGAAAGAGAGUUUAUUAGGGUUCGCGUUCUUCUCUCCUCCGCUUUCUCCACCUCUCUUCUCCUCGUUGCGAUCUAGUCGCGAGGAACCGGGAGGGGAUCUCUCAAGAAGCUAGUCGCCUGGUCUCUCGCCCUUCGGAAAAACCGGCAGGUGGCAGCAGCUUCACGGGUACCAGGUCUAUACCCCUAGGCGUUUCAUCCUGCCGCUCUCCUUUUAUUGGCCUUCUCCUAAUUUCAAGAUCGGAAGCUUUAAAUGCUUGGGAACCUGGUCUAGAGCAGGGCGCUGAAUUGAUGAGCGAGCAUGGGAUAAAUGUGCCAAAGGGAAUCGCUGCUUCAUCUGUUGAAGAGGCUAAAGAUGUUGCUCGAUCUGUUUUCCCAACGAGAAAGAGAGAUUGUGGUCAAAAGCCAAAUCCUUGCUGGUGGCAGAGGCUUGGGAGCCUUCAAAAGUGGACUCAAGGGUGGAGAAGGUUGCCGCUGCCAAUGCCGAUCUGAGUUAUAUUGGUCUUGAUGGAGAAAUCGGGUGCAUGGUCAAUGGUGGAUUGGUAAUGACUAUGAUGGAUAUAAUACGACCGCAAGGUGGUACACCUGCUAGUUUACUUGAUGUUGGUGGCGAUGCAUCGGAAAGCCAGGUUCAGAUUAUAAUAUAAUGACUGGUGUUUGUAUUUGUUGAAUUAAAUUCUUAAAUGUAUACUCUUGAAUUUUCUUUUAAUGUAUACUCUUCGUUAAGUAGAUGAUUGCAAA
Non-coding RNA from Musa acuminata subsp. malaccensis (wild Malaysian banana), 784 nucleotides. The record is from RefSeq and is a predicted model, not a curated record. Lineage: Eukaryota; Viridiplantae; Streptophyta; Magnoliopsida; Zingiberales; Musaceae.